GGCCGCGGGAAUUCGAUUCAGGCCUAACACAUGCAAGUAGAAAGAUUUACUUCGGUAAAGAGCGGCGGACGGGUGAGUAACGCGUGGGUAACCUGCCCUGUACACACGGAUAACAUACCGAAAGGUAUGCUAAUACGAGAUAAUAUACUUUUAUCGCAUGGUAGAAGUAUCAAAGCUCUGGCGGUACAGGAUGGACCCGCGUCUGAUUAGCUAGUUGGUGAGGUAAUGGCUCACCAAGGCGACGAUCAGUAGCCGACCUGAGAGGGUGAUCGGCCACAUUGGAGCUGAGCCCCGGUCC
This 298-nucleotide ribosomal RNA is filed under the name uncultured bacterium. RNAcentral's name for it is "partial 16S ribosomal RNA". It matches the Rfam family "Bacterial small subunit ribosomal RNA", at positions 43 to 332 of the family's 1533-position model. The record is from RNAcentral.